GUGGCGGACGGGUGAGUAACGCGUGAGCAACCUGCCUUUCAGAGGGGGAUAACAUUUGGAAACAGAUGCUAAUACCGCAUAAGAUUACAGUACCGCAUGAUACAGUGAUCAAAGGAGCAAUCCGCUGAAAGAUGGGCUCGCGUCCGAUUAGAUAGUUGGUGAGGUAACGGCUCACCAAGUCGACGAUCGGUAGCCGGACUGAGAGGUUGAACGGCCACAUUGGGACUGAGACACGGCCCAGACUCCUACGGGAGGCAGCAGUGGGGAAUAUUGCACAAUGGGCGAAAGCCUGAUGCAGCAACGCCGCGUGAGGGAAGACGGUUUUCGGAUUGUAAACCUCUGUUUUCGGUGACGAAUAAAUGACGGUAACCGAGUAGGAAGCCACGGCUAACUACGUGCCAGCAGCCGCGGUAAUACGUAGGUGGCAAGCGUUAUCCGGAAUUACUGGGUGUAAAGGGAGCGCAGGCGGGAUAGCAAGUCAGCUGUGAAACUAUGGGCUCAACCCAUAAACUGCAGUUGAAACUGUUAUUCUUGAGUGGAGUAGAGGCAAGCGGAAUUCCGAGUGUAGCGGUGAAAUG
Molecule: ribosomal RNA, 578 nt
Filed under: uncultured bacterium
Lineage: Bacteria
Description: bacterial SSU rRNA
Rfam family: Bacterial small subunit ribosomal RNA
Source: RNAcentral